This 301-nucleotide ribosomal RNA is filed under the name uncultured bacterium. RNAcentral describes it as "partial 16S ribosomal RNA". It matches the Rfam family "Bacterial small subunit ribosomal RNA", at positions 509 to 808 of the family's 1533-position model. The record is from RNAcentral.
CAGUAGCCGCGGGAAUACGUAGGUGGCAAGCGUCGUCCGGAAUUAUUGGGCGUAAAGGGCUCGCAGGCGGUUUCUUAAGUCUGAUGUGAAAGCCCCCGGCUCAACCGGGGAGGGUCAUUGGAAACUGGGAAACUUGAGUGCAGAAGAGGAGAGUGGAAUUCCACGUGUAGCGGUGAAAUGCGUAGAGAUGUGGAGGAACACCAGUGGCGAAGGCGACUCUCUGGUCUGUAACUGACGCUGAGGAGCGAAAGCGUGGGGAGCGAACAGGAUUAGAUACCCCGUAGUCCCUGUCUCUUAUACA